This 439-nucleotide unclassified non-coding RNA is filed under the name uncultured Thelephoraceae. Its description in RNAcentral is "sequence contains ITS2". The stretch from base 1 to 155 matches the Rfam family "5.8S ribosomal RNA". Lineage: Eukaryota; Fungi; Basidiomycota; Agaricomycetes; Thelephorales; Thelephoraceae. The record is from RNAcentral.
AACUUUUGACAAUGGAUCUCUUGUCUCUCGCAUCGAUGAAGAACGCAACGAAAUGCGAUAAGUAAUGUGAAUUGCCGAAUUCAGUGAAUCAUCGAAUCUUUGAACGCACCUUGCGCCCUUUGGCUAUUCUGAAGGGCAUGCCUGUUUGAGCCUCAUAAACAUCUCAACUCUCACAGAUUCCUGUGAUGAGAUUGGACUUUGGGGGUCUUGUUGGCUUGUGUUCAGCUCCCCUCAAAUCUAUCAGCUUCCCAGUGUUUGGCAGCAUCACAGGUGUGAUAAAUAUCUACGCUUGUGGUUCUUUGCCAGGUCUGUCCUCUCCUUGCAGAGGGCUCGCUGUAGCUCAUAGAUGUCUCUCCUUGGUGGAGACAGCUGUUUGAAGUUUGGUCUCAAAUCAGGUAGGAUUACCCGCUGAACUUAAGCAUAUCAAUAAGCGGAGGCU